Molecule: ribosomal RNA, 489 nt
Filed under: uncultured bacterium
Lineage: Bacteria
Description: bacterial SSU rRNA
Rfam family: Bacterial small subunit ribosomal RNA
Source: RNAcentral
AGAGUUUGAUUCUGGCUCAGGACGAACGCUGGCGGCGUGCUUAACACAUGCAAGUUGAACGGUAUGACAUGGAAGCUUGCUGAAGUGUCAUAUAGUAGCGGACGGGUGAGUAAUGCAUGAGAAGCUGCCAUUGGGAGGGGGACAACAGUUGGAAACGGCUGCUAAUACCCCGUAUGCCGGAGGGUGAAAAGGGAGUAAUCCGCCCGAUGAGGUGCUCAUGUCCUAUCAGCUGGUUGGUGGGGUAACGGCCUACCAAGGCGACGACGGGUAGCCGGCCUGAGAGGGUGAACGGCCACACUGGAACUGAGAUACGGUCCAGACUCCUACGGGAGGCAGCAGUGGGGAAUAUUGGGCAAAUGGGGGCAACCCUGACCCAGCGACGCCGCGUGGGGGAAGACGGCCUUCGGGUCGUAAACCUCUUUUGUACGGGAAGAAGGAAGUGACGGUACUGUACGAAUAAGUCCCGGCUAACUACGUGCCAGCAGCAGC